Molecule: ribosomal RNA, 660 nt
Filed under: bacterium IMCC4608
Lineage: Bacteria
Description: bacterial SSU rRNA
Rfam family: Bacterial small subunit ribosomal RNA
Source: RNAcentral
GGCGGCAGGCCUAACACAUGCAAGUCGAGCGCUUCCCUUCGGGGAGGAGCGGCGGACGGGUUAGUAACGCGUGGGAAUAUACCCUUCACUAUGGAAUAGCCUUUGGAAACGAAGAGUAAUACCAUAUACGCCCUUCGGGGGAAAGAUUUAUCGGUGAGGGAUUAGCCCGCGUAAGAUUAGAUAGUUGGUGGGGUAAUGGCCUACCAAGUCUACGAUCUUUAGCUGGUUUGAGAGGAUGAUCAGCAACACUGGGACUGAGACACGGCCCAGACUCCUACGGGAGGCAGCAGUGGGGAAUCUUAGACAAUGGGCGCAAGCCUGAUCUAGCCAUGCCGCGUGAGUGAUGAAGGCCUUAGGGUCGUAAAGCUCUUUCACCUGUGAAGAUAAUGACGGUAGCAGGAAAAGAAACCCCGGCUAACUCCGUGCCAGCAGCCGCGGUAAUACGGAGGGGGUUAGCGUUGUUCGGAAUUACUGGGCGUAAAGCGUACGUAGGCGGAUUAGUAAGUAAGAGGUGAAAUCCCAGGGCUCAACCCUGGAACUGCCUUUUAAACUGCUAGUCUUGAGUUCGAGAGAGGUGAGUGGAAUUCCAAGUGUAGAGGUGAAAUUCGUAGAUAUUUGGAGGAACACCAGUGGCGAAGGCGGCUCACUGGCUCGAUACUG